UACAGAGGUCCCAAGCGUUGUUCGGAUUCAUUGGGCGUAAAGGGUGCGUAGGCGGCGCGGUAAGUCGGGUGUGAAAUCUCGGGGCUUAACUCCGAAACUGCAUUCGAUACUGCCGUGCUUGAGGACUGGAGAGGAGACUGGAAUUUACGGUGUAGCGGUGAAAUGCGUAGAUAUCGUAAGGAAGACCAGUGGCGAAGGCGGGUCUCUGGACAGUUCCUGACGCUGAGGGAGCGAAAGCCAGGGGAGCAAACGGG
RNAcentral lists this ribosomal RNA (254 nucleotides) under uncultured bacterium. RNAcentral's name for it is "partial 16S ribosomal RNA". It matches the Rfam family "Bacterial small subunit ribosomal RNA", at positions 524 to 776 of the family's 1533-position model. The record is from RNAcentral.